This 395-nucleotide ribosomal RNA is filed under the name Dalophia ellenbergeri. RNAcentral describes it as "partial 16S ribosomal RNA". It matches the Rfam family "Bacterial large subunit ribosomal RNA", at positions 1929 to 2606 of the family's 2925-position model. Lineage: Eukaryota; Metazoa; Chordata; Lepidosauria; Squamata; Amphisbaenidae. The record is from RNAcentral.
GCCCGCGGUAUCCUAACCGUGCAAAGGUAGCGCAAUCACUUGUUCUUUAAAUAAGGACUAGUAUGAAUGGCGUCAUGAGGAUUAACUUGUCUCUCCCGGUAAUUCUAUGAAACUGAUCUUUCAGUACAAAAGCUGAGAUAACCACAUAAGACGAGAAGACCCUGUGGAGCUUCAGAGUUUUCGGUUGGGGCGACCCUGGAGAAAAACAAAACCUCCAACAAGACCCAACUACGUUUGAUCAAUGAACCAAGUUACCCCAGGGAUAACAGCGCAAUCUUCUUUAAGAGUCCCUAUCGACAAGAAGGUUUACGACCUCGAUGUUGGAUCAGGAUACCCAAUUAGUGCAGCCGCUAUUAACGGUUCGUUUGUUCAACGAUUAAUAUCCUACGUGAUCU